RNAcentral lists this transfer-messenger RNA (351 nucleotides) under Armatimonadetes bacterium 13_1_40CM_64_14. It matches the Rfam family "transfer-messenger RNA". From Rfam's summary of the family: Bacterial tmRNA, also known as 10Sa RNA or SsrA, is named for its dual tRNA and mRNA-like properties. Its role is to liberate the mRNA from a stalled ribosome. The record is from RNAcentral. RNAcentral also lists the same sequence under 1 other name. Lineage: Bacteria; Bacillati; Armatimonadota.
GGGGGCGAUCGGUUUCGACUGGGAUGGCAGAAGUGAAGCUGCGCGUCGAGGUGGUCCGGGCCCUCGUAAAAUACCUGGACGGCGAAUAACCGCCAACACACAGUACGCUUACGCUGCCUAGAUAGCAGCGUACGUUCACCCGGGAGUGCCGGCGAUCCGGGAUGGACGCUAACAGCCGGCUCACUGCUCGAUGCAAUGCUCGGGCGCCGGGCAGGACACCUAACGGGCUGGCGUCUAGCGGAUCCGGCUCAGGGGAGCUUCUGGACGCGAGACUCAAAGCCUGAGACACACGCGUAGACGCUUUGCUCUCGCAAUCCUAGGACGCGGGUUCGAUUCCCGCCGCCUCCACCA